This 497-nucleotide ribosomal RNA is filed under the name uncultured bacterium. RNAcentral describes it as "partial 16S ribosomal RNA". It matches the Rfam family "Bacterial small subunit ribosomal RNA", at positions 28 to 507 of the family's 1533-position model. The record is from RNAcentral.
GAUGAACGCUGGCGGCGUGCCUAAUACAUGCAAGUCGAGCGAACAGACGAGGAGCUUGCUCCUCUGACGUUAGCGGCGGACGGGUGAGUAACACGUGGAUAACCUACCUAUAAGACUGGGAUAACUUCGGGAAACCGGAGCUAAUACCGGAUAAUAUAUUGAACCGCAUGGUUCAAUAGUGAAAGACGGUUUUGCUGUCACUUAUAGAUGGAUCCGCGCUGCAUUAGCUAGUUGGUAAGGUAACGGCUUACCAAGGCGACGAUGCGUAGCCGACCUGAGAGAGUGAUCGGCCACACUGGAACUGAGACACGGUCCAGACUCCUACGGGAGGCAGCAGUAGGGAAUCUUCCGCAAUGGGCGAAAGCUUGACGGAGCAACGCCGCGUGAGUGAUGAAGGUCUUCGGAUCGUAAAACUCUGUUAUUAGGGAAGAACAAAUGUGUAAGUAACUAUGCACGUCUUGACGGUACCUAAUCAGAAAGCCACGGCUAACUACGUG